UAAAGCGUGCGUAGGCGGCUUUUUAAGUCGGAUGUGAAAUCCUGAGCUUAACUUAGGAAUUGCAUUCGAUACUGGGAAGCUAGAGUAUGGGAGAGGAUGGUAGAAUUCCAGGUGUAGCGGUGAAAUGCGUAGAGAUCUGGAGGAAUACCGAUGGCGAAGGCAGCCAUCUGGCCUAAUACUGACGCUGAGGUACGAAAGCAUGGGGAGCAAACAGGAUUAGAUACCCUGGUAGUCCAUGCCGUAAACGAUGUCUACUAGCCGUUGGGGCCUUUGAGGCUUUAGUGGCGCAGCUAACGCGAUAAGUAGACCGCCUGGGGAGUACGGUCGCAAGACUAAAACUCAAAUGAAUUGACGGGGGCCCGCACAAGCGGUGGAGCAUGUGGUUUAAUUCGAUGCAACGCGAAGAACCUUACCUGGUCUUGACAUAGUAAGAACUUUCCAGAGAUGGAUUGGUGCCUUCGGGAACUUACAUACAGGUGCUGCAUGGCUGUCGUCAGCUCGUGUCGUGAGAUGUUGGGUUAAGUCCCGCAACGAGCGCAACCCUUUUCCUUAUUUGCCAGCGGGUUAAGCCGGGAACUUUAAGGAUACUGCCAGUGACAAACUGGAGGAAGGCGGGGACGACGUCAAGUCAUCAUGGCCCUUACGACCAGGGCUACACACGUGCUACAAUGGUCGGUACAAAGGGUUGCUACCUAGCGAUAGGAUGCUAAUCUCAAAAAGCCGAUCG
RNAcentral lists this ribosomal RNA (727 nucleotides) under Acinetobacter sp. S1IP5. RNAcentral describes it as "bacterial SSU rRNA". It matches the Rfam family "Bacterial small subunit ribosomal RNA", at positions 561 to 1288 of the family's 1533-position model. Lineage: Bacteria; Pseudomonadati; Pseudomonadota; Gammaproteobacteria; Moraxellales; Moraxellaceae. The record is from RNAcentral.